RNAcentral lists this ribosomal RNA (332 nucleotides) under Vibrionaceae bacterium AF-8. RNAcentral's name for it is "partial 16S ribosomal RNA". It matches the Rfam family "Bacterial small subunit ribosomal RNA", at positions 1158 to 1511 of the family's 1533-position model. Lineage: Bacteria; Pseudomonadati; Pseudomonadota; Gammaproteobacteria; Vibrionales; Vibrionaceae. The record is from RNAcentral.
UCCAUCCGGAGGGGGGUCGGGAAUGAGAAGAAAAAAAAGAACGGCCCUGGGAGGAACACAGGUACAAGGGCAUACAGAGGGCGCCAACUGGAGAGGAGCGAAUCCCAAAAAGUGGUGUAGUCCGGAUUGGAGUUGCAACUGACUCCAGAAGUCGGAAUCGUAGUAAUCGUAGAUCAGAAUGUACGGUGAAUACGUUCCCGGGCCUUGUACACACCGCCCGUCACACCAUGGGAGUGGGCUGCAAAAGAAGUGGGUAGUUUAACCUUCGGGAGAGACGCUCACCACUUUGUGGUUCAUGACUGAGGAAGUCGUAACAAGGUAGCCCUAGGAAC